Non-coding RNA from Podarcis lilfordi (Lilford's wall lizard), 70 nucleotides. NCBI's taxonomy places the organism in Eukaryota, Metazoa, Chordata, Lepidosauria, Squamata, Lacertidae. The record is from the annotation of a GenBank genome assembly.
GGCCAUAGCUUAGUGGCAGAGCACCUGCUUUGCAUGCAGAAGGUCCCAGGUUCAAUCCUUGCCAUCUCCA